GGGGAAUUAGCUCAGUUGGCUAGAGCGCUACACUGGCAGUGUAGAGGUCACCGGUUCGAGCCCGGUAUUCUCCA
Molecule: transfer RNA, 74 nt
Filed under: Saprospiraceae bacterium
Lineage: Bacteria; Pseudomonadati; Bacteroidota; Saprospiria; Saprospirales; Saprospiraceae
Description: tRNA-Ala
Rfam family: tRNA
About the family: Transfer RNA (tRNA) molecules are approximately 80 nucleotides in length. Their secondary structure includes four short double-helical elements and three loops (D, anti-codon, and T loops).
Source: RNAcentral